This 650-nucleotide ribosomal RNA is filed under the name uncultured bacterium. Its description in RNAcentral is "bacterial SSU rRNA". It matches the Rfam family "Bacterial small subunit ribosomal RNA", at positions 56 to 717 of the family's 1533-position model. The record is from RNAcentral.
UGCAGUCGAACGAUGAUGCUCCAGCUUGCUGGGGUGGAUUAGUGGCGAACGGGUGAGUAACACGUGAGUAACCUGCCUUUCACUUUGGGAUAAGCCUUGGAAACGGGGUCUAAUACCGGGUAUACACAUUCUGUCGCAUGGUGGUGUGUGGAAAGCUUUUGUGGUGGAGGAUGGACUCGCGGCCUAUCAGCUUGAUGGUGGGGUAGUGGCCUACCAUGGCUUUGACGGGUAGCCGGCCUGAGAGGGUGACCGGCCACACUGGGACUGAGACACGGCCCAGACUCCUACGGGAGGCAGCAGUGGGGAAUAUUGCACAAUGGGCGGAAGCCUGAUGCAGCGACGCCGCGUGGGGGAUGAAGGCUUUCGGGUCGUAAACUCCUUUCAGCAGGGACGAAGCUUUUGUGACGGUACCUGCAGAAGAAGCACCGGCUAACUACGUGCCAGCAGCCGCGGUAAUACGUAGGGUGCGAGCGUUGUCCGGAAUUAUUGGGCGUAAAGAGCUUGUAGGCGGUUUGUCGCGUCUGCCGUGAAAGCCCAGGGCUUAACCCUGGGUCUGCGGUGGGUACGGGCAGACUAGAGUGUGGUAGGGGAGACUGGAAUUCCUGGUGUAGCGGUGAAAUGCGCAGAUAUCAGGAGGAACACUGAUGGCG